AUGAACUGUGCCCCAGGACUGGUGAUUGUACUCCUCUUAAGAUUUGGAGGAAGCAAUGGAGACUCAGUAAUCCAGACAGAAGGACAAAUGACCCUCUCUGAAGGGACUUCCCUGACUGUGAACUGUUCCUAUAAAACCUCACAGUACCCAGCCCUAUUCUGGUAUGUUCAAUACCCUGGAGAAGGUCUACAGCUCCUCCUGAAAGCUGUGAAGGCCAAUGAUAAGGUCAGCAACAAAGGUUUUGAAGCUACAUAUGAUCAAGAAACGACCUCCUUCCACCUGGUGAAAGCCUCUGUCCAAGAGUCAGACUUGGCUGUGUACUACUGUGCUCUGGGUGACACAGUGGCAGAAACUGCAGGGGGAGCUGAGCAAAAACUCUGA
Molecule: non-coding RNA, 381 nt
Organism: Ictidomys tridecemlineatus (thirteen-lined ground squirrel)
Lineage: Eukaryota; Metazoa; Chordata; Mammalia; Rodentia; Sciuridae
Source: the annotation of a RefSeq genome assembly